RNAcentral lists this transfer RNA (76 nucleotides) under Candidatus Megaera polyxenophila. Its description in RNAcentral is "tRNA-Phe". It matches the Rfam family "tRNA". Rfam says of the family: Transfer RNA (tRNA) molecules are approximately 80 nucleotides in length. The record is from RNAcentral. Lineage: Bacteria; Pseudomonadati; Pseudomonadota; Alphaproteobacteria; Rickettsiales; Rickettsiaceae. RNAcentral also lists the same sequence under 5 other names.
GGCCAGAUAGCUCAGUUGGUAGAGCAAAGGACUGAAAAUCCUUGUGUCGCCGGUUCGAUCCCGGCUCUGGCCACCA